GGAGACUCUUCCCUGGGAGUUGUGUGGAGACACUUUCUAACGUACUUUUGUUUUACCUUUUAGUUUCUUUUCAUUCAGAAGAAAUAAAAGAACAAAACGAGACAUUAAUAAAAGAGAAUGAAGAAAUAAAAGAACAAAAAGAGAAAUUAAUAAAAGAGAAUGGUGAGUGA
Molecule: long non-coding RNA, 170 nt
Filed under: Dasypus novemcinctus (nine-banded armadillo)
Lineage: Eukaryota; Metazoa; Chordata; Mammalia; Cingulata; Dasypodidae
Description: lncRNA (ENSDNOG00000050207.1)
Source: RNAcentral